GUCUACAACCGUGCUACCCUGAACAAUCCCAAUCCCAUCUGAUCUCGGAAGCUAAGCAGGAUUGGGCCUGGUUAAUACUUGGAUGGGCGACCAUGUAGAAAGAUCAGGUGCUGUAGGAG
This 119-nucleotide ribosomal RNA is filed under the name Pteropus alecto (black flying fox). The record is from RNAcentral. Lineage: Eukaryota; Metazoa; Chordata; Mammalia; Chiroptera; Pteropodidae.